RNAcentral lists this long non-coding RNA (2906 nucleotides) under Cucumis sativus (cucumber). Its description in RNAcentral is "long non-coding RNA (CSAT_LNC002648)". Lineage: Eukaryota; Viridiplantae; Streptophyta; Magnoliopsida; Cucurbitales; Cucurbitaceae. The record is from RNAcentral.
ACUCAACAGCAUUAGUACAACAUAAUCAAAAGCUCUGUCCUAGACCGAAACGUACAAAAGGCAUAAGACAUCUCGCCAACUAAGCCGCUUCAUCUUCUACAGUAACAUUAUUUGAAAGUUGAGAGAGGCAGUACGUACUCUAUGAGAAAUCAUCUCUUUAUUCGGAGGUUUCAAAAGCAUUGACACUGUUCUCAGCUUCAUCAAUCAACUGGACUACCUGAGCUACACCAGCUGCAAUUUCCUUAUUGAUGCUUCCACUGGGCAUAUCGAACGUCCUUCUACGAAAGGAAAUCGAUCUUUUAGCAGGUUGGGGAUCAACCACAUCAAGCAUGGCUUCUAGUUCGAUUACCAUUGAUUUCUUGGCAGUUCGCACCAUCACAUCAACUCCCUGCAGAUGUACAAUGUAUCAACACAUUGUAUUUGUAUAUCAGGUCAUAUGUUUAUUUAUCUCGCAAUCAAGUGAAUAUGUAUGCAUCAGACAAAACCUAUUCCUCCUAGAACAUCUCAAAAUCAUUAAAAAUCUCCUCGGGGCAAUUAACUUGGAAAAUUGCAAAUAAUGCGCAGAGUCAAAGGAUACAACUUUUAUCAUGGAAUGAAGGAUGGAAGAGAACCUCCUCUAUCAUAAAACAACUAUUUGAAUACAAUGAGACCCCAGAAGCCGUGAAAGAAACAGAACUCUGAGUCUUAAAUAAUUUGUUUUGAUUUUACAAAGUCGAGUUCCGUGUUGUUCCAAAGUUAGAUAUCAAACCAAACCAAACCAAAUUGUGUACUUCUCUCCUGGGUAGCCUUAAAAAAGUUAUAGUUUUCUUGAAUUAGAUGAAAGCUGUUCUUUGAUUACCAUUCUAAAACUAGAAAACAUCCCCCUAAAGAUCAAACUUUUUAUUUAAUAUAAAUACAAAAUAAAAUAAAUAUAGUUACAAGCUCUGAAAGUAGCAACGUAACUUGGAAGCAUGCAAAGCAAAAAUUCACAUGAUAUAACUCUUCAAAGUAAAUAAAUAAAUGGAAACGAGGUAUAAGGUUGAGCAACAUUUUUUUGGGCUGAACGUGUGAAAGAAGACAUCAAAAAACAUGAGACUAAAAAAGACGGAUGAGCCAGAGAAAUGACUCUACAUGAAGUGAGCGAUGAAGUUUCUUUCAAAGAAAGAGGAAGACAAUAUCUUGGUCAAAACUCAAAACUCAAGCGAUUGAUUACAAUCAAGACAAAGCUGUCAAUCAAGGACACAAUUAGUAUAGGACUAUUGAAGUCAGAAGAAAAGAAACAAGACUAAAAGGGUCUUAGUAGGUGUAUUACUCUUUGAAUCAAAAAGGUUCUCCUAAAUAAAAAAACUUGGAAGGAAAUCAAACUGUAGAAAACAAAGCUUAUAAAAAGAAAUGAGGGUACACCUACAUGCUGAGAAAUACAUGAUUAUUCUAUGAUGUUGGAUUAUACCUAACGCUUACACUUGUGAUAGUUUUAAUCUAAUCGAAGUCAAAUCAUAACAAAGAGUUGGAAUGAACGGUAACAUGUUAAAAAUAUAUAUGAUUUUGUAGAAUAAAACUCAGCAUUUUAAAAUGAUUAAGAACAUUAUAGUUAUAACAUAUUAACGAACAUAAACAUAUGCCUCAUGAGUUAAUUUACAAGUAGGAAGAAGAAAGAGAUCUUAACCUCAAUUGCAUCGACAGUGAGAAGCAAGACAAUUAUUUUUUCACUGAACCUUUGGCGCUCCUCUGCAUCCCGAGCCAGCCGCUGAGUGUAAGCAAAAUUAUUGAAAGCUUCCCUGAUCUCCUUCAACUUUGUCUUGGCAACUGACAGAUCUCUAAGAGCACGAAGAACCUUUGACCUGUGGACUAGGUAUUCUCUGAAAUUUAUUUGAAUGAUAACAGCUGCAUCUUGAGGAGACAACUCCUUCUUCUUACCCUUCUUAUUUUCCACAACUCUAGUUCUCCUGGCAAAGGCCUUUCAUCACAAAAACACAUUCGGUAAGUUCCCUAUAUAUUUCAUUUAACAGUAAAGCUCGAUAAUUCAAUUCUGCAAAUGAUAAACUACAUGACGCAUCCCUAAAUGAUGUAUACAAGUUUAUUUGCGCGUUUUAGGCAUUGCUGAUCAUUUUUCUGUAUCCUUCCUUACCCCACAAUAACUUCCUGGUAUUUUACACAGCAUAUGCAUUUUGCUAAACAGAGUCGAAGCUGUAGAUUAGAAAAUUAAACAUGGAGCUGAGUUCCAUCACGAUUGAUGAAAUUUUAAAUAUUCAGAAAAUUGCAUAUUAAAAUUCAGAGAAUCAAAUCAUUGUUUCUUAACACAUUUACCUAAUCAAUCAUAAGUGGGGUCUCGAAGGGGCUUAGAAAUUCCAUCCUCUACCACGUUUUCAAGGCACAAAAACUUCCUACCAUUCUUCUCUAUUACAAUCUACGGCUUGCUUAAUAAUAUAUUUUUACAGGAAACGAAUCCCUUCUCUAGUUUUAAGCAUCCAUUGAAAAGGCAAUCCAUUCUCAACCAAAUCAUCCCUUCCCCUUCCCCAUCCCAAAAGUUCCUGUAUCCUGUUCAUAUAAUUAAACCAAUUUCAAGGGGAAAAUAAAUGGUAGAAAAGAAAAAAAGAGAAGACAAAAUCCUAGAAUGUCACCAGAUUUUGGAAGUAUUGUGAAAAAUUGAUCAUUUAAUGUCAAUACCUGUCUUAAAACGACAGCUCCUUGAUCAUUGGUGUCUUCAAUCUCAACCACACGCGUCUCACUCCCAACCUUCUUUCCCUUCUUUUUCUUCUCCUCUUUCUUCUCUGUACUCUCACUUCCAUUUCCACUCGAAACCUCCACAGUGUACUUCCUAAUCGGAUCCCUCUCAUCCUUUCCUUUAAUCUCAGCACUCCACUUGUAGUUCUGCAAAACCCCACCAUUCUUCCCCUCCUUGUUCUUCUUCCCAUCUUUAAUCUCAG